RNAcentral lists this ribosomal RNA (253 nucleotides) under uncultured bacterium. RNAcentral's name for it is "partial 16S ribosomal RNA". It matches the Rfam family "Bacterial small subunit ribosomal RNA", at positions 524 to 776 of the family's 1533-position model. The record is from RNAcentral.
UACGGGGGGGGCAAGCGUUGUUCGGAAUUACUGGGCGUAAAGGGCUCGUAGGCGGCCCACUAAGUCAGACGUGAAAUCCCUCGGCUUAACCGGGGAACUGCGUCUGAUACUGGAUGGCUUGAGUUUGGGAGAGGGAUGCGGAAUUCCAGGUGUAGCGGUGAAAUGCGUAGAUAUCUGGAGGAACACCGGUGGCGAAGGCGGCAUCCUGGACCAACACUGACACUGAGGAGCGAAAGCCAGGGGAGCAAACGGG